GUGCCAGCCGCCGCGGUAAUACGGAGGGGGCGAGCGUUAUUCGGAAUUAUUGGGCGUAAAGGGCGCGUAGGUGGCCCUGUAAGUCAAAGGUGAAAUCCCUCGGCUCAACCGAGGAAUUGCCCUUGAAACUGCAGGGCUUGAGGCCGGGAGGGGGUAGCGGAAUUCCCAGUGUAGCGGUGAAAUGCGUAGAUACUGGGAGGAACACCGGUGGCGAAGGCGGCUACCUGGACCGGUUCUGACACUGAUGCGCGAAAGCGUGGGUAGCAAACAGGAUUAGAUACCCCCGUAGUCC
This 292-nucleotide ribosomal RNA is filed under the name uncultured bacterium. Its description in RNAcentral is "partial 16S ribosomal RNA". It matches the Rfam family "Bacterial small subunit ribosomal RNA", at positions 505 to 796 of the family's 1533-position model. The record is from RNAcentral.